RNAcentral lists this ribosomal RNA (253 nucleotides) under uncultured bacterium. RNAcentral describes it as "partial 16S ribosomal RNA". It matches the Rfam family "Bacterial small subunit ribosomal RNA", at positions 524 to 776 of the family's 1533-position model. RNAcentral also lists the same sequence under 1 other name. The record is from RNAcentral.
UACAGAGGUCCCAAGCGUUGUUCGGAUUCACUGGGCGUAAAGGGUGCGCAGGUGGUCGGGUAAGUCUGAUGUGAAAUCCCGCAGCUCAACUGCGGAAUGGCAUUGGAUACUAUUUGGCUAGAGGGUUGGAGGGGGGACUGGAAUUCUCGGUGUAGCAGUGAAAUGCGUAGAUAUCGAGAGGAACACCAGUGGCGAAAGCGAGUCCCUGGACAACUCCUGACGCUGAGGCACGAAAGCUAGGGGAGCAAACAGG